This is a long non-coding RNA of Oncorhynchus nerka (sockeye salmon), 1443 nucleotides long. RefSeq lists it as uncharacterized. Lineage: Eukaryota; Metazoa; Chordata; Actinopteri; Salmoniformes; Salmonidae. The record is from RefSeq and is a predicted model, not a curated record. The transcript has 2 exons.
UUUCCCUAGUCACUGUGCUUCUGCAUCUGCAUUGCUUCCUCUUUGUGGUUGUAGACUGGGUUUCUGUAUAGCACUUCGUGACAACUGCUGAUUGUUUGCAGAACAACGAGACAACCUUACUAUUGUGAUGAACAUCUGUCAUGAGAUCGUUGAAGCGUGAACAGUGGCAUGAAGGUAUAUUCAUCUCUGUAGCCAGCCAAGCGACCAUUGGUGUAAAUUACAUCACAGGUAAGUUUAGGACACAUCGUCUCUCCUCUUUCUCUCUGUCUCAAAAACAAUUGACAGAUACUGAUACACAGAACACAAAUGGGUACAUUUAAAAACUACUUUCCUUUUGUUACACAUGUGGAACGGCUCUGGAUUAUGUUACUACUUAAGUGCCCCUCCUGCUCCUCCUGCCCCUCCUGCUCCUCCUGCCCUCCUGCCCCUCCUGCUCCUCCUGCCCCUCCUGCCCCUCCUGUCCCUCCUGUCCCUCCUGCCCCUCCUGCCCCUCCUGCUCCUCCUGCCUCUCCUGCCCCUCCUGCUCCUCCUGCCCCUCCUGCCCCUCCUGCUCCUCCUGCCCCUCCUGCCCCUCCCAUAAUAUUCCAUGCCAUGGUCUGUGUCACUGCAUUAUUGGUAGGCUUUUUGUGAUAAGGGUCGUAACCGCUUGACCAGAUUCAGUCUUUGGUGGUUAGCAGACCCAUCAGUGACCGUAGUUCUCUCUGCUUUAUCAUUGAAUCUCUAUUUGACAAGCCUCAGCCAAACAGGCAACGUGGUUUUGUUAUUCAAACAGGGCUCUGUCUCAACAAGUCUUUGAAGUCACUCUCUACAAAGAGGGCCAGUACUGCCAUUACGGGGCUAGUUGUUGGGGAAUAUGAGUCAUUGAAGGCAGAUGAAUCUAUGCCAAAACAGUGUUAGCUAGGCCUGCGGCUAUGGUGAGGAAUCGGUCAUGCCAUCAUGCAAUAUGAAAGACCUUAUUGACAAACUGAUGGAUUGUUUGCAUUGAAUUUAAGAGAGGGUGGAGGGCUGAUUUGGUAGCCUAAAUCAUUUAGAAUCUGUCAUGUGAUGGAAUUUUCCCAACUUGAGCCUGUUCAUUGACUACCCUAUGAAAAAGUAUGUCUGUAGUGCUUUCUGACUUGGCAGAGGGACAAUAGUGCAUUGAUGAUUAUUUGUAUAUCCAUACAGAACCUCUCAGUCUUAGUCCAGUAUAGAAUCUGAAAUAUAACAGGAAGUACUAAACUGCUCCAUCCCAAACCGCCUCAUGAUGGACUAUUGGUCUUACUGUUCGUAUUCAUCUUUCAAUCUUUUUAUUGUUUGCUUCUUAAGUUACACAUUGUAUUGUAUGUUUUUAUGACGUUGUAUGUUUGAAUGUUGAGCAUUUUAUACAUUUGAAAAAGAGGCUUUGGUCUCAAUGGGACUCCCUGCUAAAAUAAAGGCUAAAUAAAAUCUACAGCAUUUUUACUA